CAGCCGCCGCGGGAAUACAGAGGGUGCAAGCGUUAAUCGGAAUUACUGGGCGUAAAGCGCGCGUAGGUGGUUUGUUAAGUUGGAUGUGAAAUCCCCGGGCUCAACCUGGGAACUGCAUCCAAAACUGGCAAGCUAGAGUAUGGUAGAUGGUGGUGGAAUUUCCUGUGUAGCGGUGAAAUGCGUAGAUAUAGGAAGGAACACCAGUGGCGAAGGCGACCACCUUGACUGAUACUGACACUGAGGUGCGAAAGCGUGGGGAGCAAACAGGAUUAGAGACCCCCGUAGUCCCUGUCUCUUAUAC
Molecule: ribosomal RNA, 301 nt
Filed under: uncultured bacterium
Lineage: Bacteria
Description: partial 16S ribosomal RNA
Rfam family: Bacterial small subunit ribosomal RNA
Source: RNAcentral